Molecule: ribosomal RNA, 487 nt
Filed under: uncultured bacterium
Lineage: Bacteria
Description: partial 16S ribosomal RNA
Rfam family: Bacterial small subunit ribosomal RNA
Source: RNAcentral
GACGAACGCUGGCGGCGUGCUUAACACAUGCAGGUCGAACGGAAAGGCCCCCAUCUUGGUGGGGGUGCUCGAGUGGCGAACGGGUGAGUAACACGUGGGUGAUCUGCCCUGUACUUCGGGAUAAGCUUGGGAAACUGGGUCUAAUACCGGAUAGGACCAUGGUUUAGUGUCUCAUGGUGGAAAGAUUAUUGUUUUGGUGCAGGAUGAGCUCGCGGCCUAUCAGCUUGUUGGCGGGGUAAUGGCCUACCAAGGCGUCGACGGGUAGCCGGCCUGAGAGGGUGGACAGGCGAAUUGGGACUGAGAGACGGCUCAGACGCGUGCGGGAGGCAGCAGUGGGGAAGAUUGCACAGUGGGCGCGAGCCUGCUGCAGCGACGCCGCGUGGGGGGUGUCGGCCUUCGGGUAGUAAACUCCUUGGGUUAGGGACGAAGCCACGGUUUUUGGGUGUGGUGACGGUACCUUUGUUAAGAAGCACCGGCUAACUACGUG